RNAcentral lists this ribosomal RNA (279 nucleotides) under uncultured bacterium. RNAcentral's name for it is "partial 16S ribosomal RNA". It matches the Rfam family "Bacterial small subunit ribosomal RNA", at positions 506 to 784 of the family's 1533-position model. The record is from RNAcentral.
UGCCAGCAGCCGCGGUAAUACGAGUGCCCCAAGCGUUAUCCGGAAUUACUGGGCGUAAAGGGUCCGUAGGCGGUCGUAUUAGUCUUUUGUUAAAGCUCCCGGCUCAACCGGGAAAACGCAAAAGAAACGGUACGACUAGAGAAUGCGAGAGGUGUACGGAACUCACGGUGUAGGGGUGGAAUCCGUUGAUAUCGUGGGGAACACCAAAGGCGAAGGCAGUACACUGGCGCAUUUCUGACGCUAAGGGACGAAACCCUGGGUAGCGAAUGGGAUUAGAUA